UGAACGCUGGCGGUAUGCUUAACACAUGCAAGUCGAACGGAAACGAUACUAGCUUGCUAGUAGGCGUCGAGUGGCGGACGGGUGAGUAACGCGUAGGAAUCUGCCUGAUAGUGGGGGAUAGCCCGAAGAAAUUCGGAUUAAUACCGCAUAAUCUAUUCGUAGUAAAGUGGGGGACUUUCGAGCCUCACGCUAUCAGAUGAGCCUGCGUAAGAUUAGCUAGUUGGUAGGGUAAAAGCCUACCAAGGCAACGAUCUUUAGCUGGUCUGAGAGGAUGAUCAGCCACAUCGGGACUGAGACACGGCCCGAACUCCUACGGGAGGCAGCAGUGGGGAAUAUUGGACAAUGGGGGCAACCCUGAUCCAGCAAUACCGCGUGUGUGAAGAAGGCCUGAGGGUUGUAAAGCACUUUCAAUUGUGAAGAAAAGUUAACGGUUAAUAACCGUUAGCCUUGACGUUAACUUUAGAAGAAGCACCGGCUAACUCCGUGCCAGCAGCCGCGGUAAUACGGAGGGUGCAAGCGUUAAUCGGAAUUACUGGGCGUAAAGCGUGCGUAGGCGGUUUAUUAAGUCAGAUGUGAAAGCCCCGGGCUUAACCUGGGAACUGCAUUUGAAACUGGUCAACUAGAGUAUGGUAGAGGAAAGUGGAAUUUCUGGUGUAGCGGUGAAAUGCGUAGAUAUCAGAAGGAACAUCAAUGGCGAAGGCAGCUUUCUGGACCAAUACUGACGCUGAGGUACGAAAGCGUGGGUAGCAAACAGGAUUAGAUACCCUGGUAGUCCACGCCGUAAACGAUGAUAACUAGCCGUUGGGGGGAUUUACCCUUUAGUGGCGAAGCUAACGCGUUAAGUUAUCCGCCUGGGGAGUACGGCCGCAAGGUUAAAACUCAAAGGAAUUGACGGGGACCCGCACAAGCGGUGGAGCAUGUGGUUUAAUUCGAUGCAACGCGAAGAACCUUACCUGGUCUUGACAUCCUGCGAACUUUCUAGAAAUAGAUUGGUGCCUUCGGGAACGCAGUGACAGGUGCUGCAUGGCUGUCGUCAGCUCGUGUCGUGAGAUGUUGGGUUAAGUCCCGUAACGAGCGCAACCCCUAUCCUUAUUUGCCAGCACGUCAUGGUGGGAACUAUAAGGAGACUGCCGGUGAUAAACCGGAGGAAGGCGGGGACGACGUCAAGUCAUCAUGGCCCUUACGACCAGGGCUACACACGUGCUACAAUGGGAAGGACAAAGAGCCGCGAAGCCGCGAGGUGUAGCUAAUCUCAGAAACCUUUUCGUAGUCCGGAUUGGAGUCUGCAACUCGACUCCAUGAAGUCGGAAUCGCUAGUAAUCGUAGAUCAGAAUGCUACGGUGAAUACGUUCCCGGGUCUUGUACUCACCGC
RNAcentral lists this ribosomal RNA (1372 nucleotides) under uncultured bacterium. RNAcentral describes it as "16S ribosomal RNA". It matches the Rfam family "Bacterial small subunit ribosomal RNA", at positions 30 to 1393 of the family's 1533-position model. The record is from RNAcentral.